AGAGGGUUAGCCCCUUGACAAUGGAAAGGAAUAAGGGAGAAAAAACAGAUGAAGGAGAGUAUGAAGAAGUAGAGUGGCACUUUAUAUACCCCAUCUCCAAGCGUCACAGACAGCUUGCAAGGAGGAAAACGGACACAUUAGAAGACCAUGUUGAAAGUCUGCCAAUGUUACCGUCUGCUUGCUGAUAAUGAUUUUUCUUCUUCCCUGCCUGGAGGGAAGGGAGGGACAGUUCUCUGCUCCACUGAAGCUAGCACGGCCAUGUGACCCGUGUUGCCAGUGAAACAGGAGGAGAAGGGACAUCUGGGUGGAAACAUUUAGGAGGCAAGUGUAUUUCUCCAUACUCUCUUUCUUUGGCUUUGGCAGUGAUGGAGGUACGUGUUGAGAUGGAGAUGCCAUUACACUGAAGCAGCUGAGAAUGCCCAGCCAACAUAUGGAGGACAGCUGCCCUGGAGAGCAUCCUGGACCAGUGAUGGCUCUGCUUGAGCAAGAAAUACACUUCUGUUUUUUACAUCCUUGAAAUCUUGGAAUUAUUUGUUACUGUAGCAACCUAUCUAAACUGACCAA
Cercocebus atys (sooty mangabey) is the source of this 564-nucleotide long non-coding RNA. RefSeq lists it as uncharacterized. The transcript is spliced from 3 exons. NCBI's taxonomy places the organism in Eukaryota, Metazoa, Chordata, Mammalia, Primates, Cercopithecidae. The record is from RefSeq and is a predicted model, not a curated record.